RNAcentral lists this unclassified non-coding RNA (364 nucleotides) under Hevea brasiliensis (rubber tree). The record is from RNAcentral. Lineage: Eukaryota; Viridiplantae; Streptophyta; Magnoliopsida; Malpighiales; Euphorbiaceae.
GAUAUUGUCAGUCAAAUGUGAAACCUGAAACACAAGCCACAGCAAGGUGUUUAUCUUUGCAUUAAUCACUUGAAAAAAUAAUGCACUAGCAAAAGUCAAAGCGCUAAGACUUGCAAAGCCAACCUAAAACCUUAACCCCCUGUUUGGAUUAAGUUUAUCGUGAUUUAUUAAUAUAUCAUAUCAUAUUGUAUUGUUUUUAUUACUAACAUGUAUGGUAUGGUGUAGGACGGUUUGAUAACCUUUUCUUGUUUGCUUAAUAGUAUGGUAUGAUAAAAUAAAGAUCACUAAAAAUACCCUUUGUAACUGUUUUAAAUAUAUAAAAGAUUUAAAAAUAUUUAUCUAAAUAAAAUAUUAAUUUAUAAAU